Molecule: ribosomal RNA, 497 nt
Filed under: uncultured bacterium
Lineage: Bacteria
Description: partial 16S ribosomal RNA
Rfam family: Bacterial small subunit ribosomal RNA
Source: RNAcentral
GAUGAACGCUGGCGGCGUGCCUAAUACAUGCCAGUCGAGCGAACAGACGAGGAGCUUGCUCCUCUGACGUUAGCGGCGGACGGGUGAGUAACACGUGGAUAACCUACCUAUAAGACUGGGAUAACUUCGGGAAACCGGAGCUAAUACCGGAUAAUAUAUUGAACCGCAUGGUUCAAUAGUGAAAGACGGUUUUGCUGUCACUUAUAGAUGGAUCCGCGCCGCAUUAGCUAGUUGGUAAGGUAACGGCUUACCAAGGCAACGAUGCGUAGCCGACCUGAGAGGGAGAUCGGCCACACUGGAACUGAGACACGGUCCAGACUCCUACGGGAGGCAGCAGUAGGGAAUCUUCCGCAAUGGGCGAAAGCCUGACGGAGCAACGCCGCGUGAGUGAUGAAGGUCUUCGGAUCGUAAAACUCUGUUAUUAGGGAAGAACAAAUGUGUAAGUAACUAUGCACGUCUUGACGGUACCUAAUCAGAAAGCCACGGCUAACUACGUG